AAUCGAACUCGGAUAUAGCUGGUUCUCCCCGAAAUAGGUUUAGGCCUAGCCUUGAUGUAAGGAUAGUGGAGGUAGAGCACUGAAUGUGUGAUGGCGUCGUCUAGAUGUACUGAGCACAAUCAAACUCCGAAUGCCAUUAUUACGUAAUCAGGAGUCAGUGUAUGGGUGAUAACGUCCAUACGCGAAAGGAAAAGAAUCCAGAUCGCCAGCUAAGGUCCCAAAAGUUGUGUUAAGUGGGAAAGGAUGUAGAGUUGUAGAAACAGCUAGGAGGUUGGCUUAGAAGCAGCCAUCCUUUAAAGAGUGCGUAAUAGCUCACUAGUCGAGUGAAACUGCGCCGAAGAUGUACCGGGGCUAAACACAAUACCGAAGCUGCGGAUUCAUGCAUAAGCAUGAGUGGUAGGGGAGCGUUCUAAAUGCGUUGAAGGUAUACCGAGAGGAGUGCUGGAGCGUUUAGAAGUGAGAAUGCCGGUGUGAGUAACGAAAAAUGGGUGGAAAUCCCAUUCACCGAUUGACUAAGGGUUCCUGGGUAAAGUUCGUCUUCCCAGGGUAAGUCAGGACCUAAGGCGAGGCCGAAAGGCGUAGUCGAUGGACAAUAGGUAAUUAUUCCUAUACCACCUAUAUAACUGAAGGAGUGACGAAGGAGGCUAACAUGAGCCGGUUAACGGAUUCCGGUCUAAGCACAAAGGCUGGUACACAGUGAAAUGCGUGAUAUCGUGUGGCUGAAGUGUGAUGGGGAAGCGACGGUUUCGACCGAAGCGAACUUGUGUGACGCCAAACUUCCAAGAAAAGCUUCUAGGGCUAAUUAUAUAGGUGCCUGUACCGAAAACCGACACAGGUGGUCAAGGAGAGGAUCCUAAGGUGAGCGAGAGAACUAUGGUUAAGGAACUCGGCAAAAUGACCCCGUAACUUCGGGAGAAGGGGUGGUCAAGCAAAAAAUACAGCGAUGUAGGAAAAUGUAUUGACCCGCAGUGAAUAGGUCCAGGCAACUGUUUACCAAAAACACAGGUUUCUGCAAACACGAAAGUGGAAGUAUAGGAGCUGACGCCUGCCCAGUGCUGGAAGGUUAAGGUAAGAUGUGAAUCCUACGGGAGGCAGCAUUGAACUGAAGCCCCAGUGAACGGCGGCCGUAACUAUAACGGUCCUAAGGUAGCGAAAUUCCUUGUCAGGUAAGUUCUGACCCGCACGAAAGGCGUAAUGAUCUGGAUACUGUCUCAACCAUAGACUCGGUGAAAUCUUAAUACCUGUGAAAAUGCAGGUUACCCGC
Molecule: ribosomal RNA, 1264 nt
Filed under: human metagenome
Description: bacterial LSU rRNA
Rfam family: Bacterial large subunit ribosomal RNA
Source: RNAcentral